Molecule: RNA transcript, 2551 nt
Organism: Phragmites australis (common reed)
Lineage: Eukaryota; Viridiplantae; Streptophyta; Magnoliopsida; Poales; Poaceae
Gene name: probable LRR receptor-like serine/threonine-protein kinase At1g56140
Exons: 8
Source: RefSeq, a predicted model, not a curated record
GCACUCCGCUCGGUCGCACGAUCGCCCGCUCGCGUCCUCUCCCACACGAUCGCCCUCACGCCGCUCGUUCCGCUCCCACAUUCCGCUCCUCUCCUAAUCUUGCGCUCCUCCAGCGCCGCUCACGCCCGCGCUCACGCUCCGCAUCCACAUCCUCAUCCUGCGCGCCGCCGCCGUCGCCUCCCGUGUCGCCCUCGUUGUCGGUUGCCUCCCCGCCAACGAGUCACCGUCGACGACGUCCGCCGCCGAAUAUUCCUUCGCUCCCCUCGCGAUUCCUUCACUCCCCCCGCGAUUCCUUCACCUCCCUUGCGAUUCCUCUGCUGUGCCCGCACCCGCGCUCACGCUCCGCAUCCUCAUCCUCAUCGCUCCCCGCCCCUUCCUCAUCUUGCGCGCUGCCACCGUCGCCCUCGCCGUCGGUCGCCUCCCCGCCGACGAAUCACCGUCGACGACGUCCAGGACCCCACCUUCGAAGUUCCAGCGCCGCCGACAGCCAUCCUUGCCGUUUGCAUGCUGUGCUCCGCCGAAGGGAACCCAUUCCUAGGGUUUUGCCGCUGCCACCAAUCCGCGCCUCGAUCUGCGCUGUUGCGCCGCCGCCAUCCCCGACUCCAAUGACGCCGUCGGUUGCAGUCGUCGUUGCGGCUACUGGGAUAACAACACCGGAGGCAGGAGUGAGGAGGAUGCAACGGUGGAGAACACCGGUGUGGGGAGCGUGUCGGUGGCAUCGGGAGCUGGCUGUGGCGUGGCGUUGUAGAGGAGGACGGGGUCCGGGUGGUGGGACUGGUGUAGACGGCGAGCUCGUCCCCACGCUGCCGUGUUCUGCGAGCGCCGCGUCGCCCUCCAGAACUCGCAUGGCAUCCCCACGCUGCCGUGUACUGCGAGCGCCACGCCACCCUCCACAACUCGCAUGGCAUUCACACGUGCUACCAUUGCCAAUCAGAGGCACCUCAAUGGAGAACAACCGUGAUUCCAUGGGCGCCAUCCUCCACAAUGAACAGAAGAACCUCCCCAUCUCCAAUAAGGUACGCCUCUAAUUGCUGCAUGCCAGGCACUCGAUGAAAUCACCAAGAAGGGGUCGUUCAUGCCCAAACAACUGGGAGUAGCGAGCAUUGGUGCUGCUGUUGAGCACGGUGCAGCUCACUGUCACUGGUGUGGCUCAGUGGGUCGAGGUGCUUCUAUUGUCUGCCAAAAUUUGGAGCUGGGUCUGCCAUUUCCACCAAUGUCGCCUCCCCCAAGAUCUCGGUGAGAAAUUUGUCUUGGCAGCAUCAUGCGUAGCCACGGCAAAUGUGAGAUCGCCGGUAUUGGUAUAGGGGAUAUGGAUGUCAAUAGAAGAUGGCUUGAUGAUGGUGAAGAUCUAUCAUGGUCACCCGCUGAAGGAUACUAAGAUAUGGUAGGAAAAUUGGCUGUUGCAAAAAUGGUGCCAGAUCUGCCAGCUAAUUCAGCAUGUGGACGCUACUGAGUGUUGGAAAUUAAAUGGCGUCACUAUACCCAAGAAGGAUGAGGCUCUGAAGAUGGAGAUGACUGCCAGAAGAACAGACGCUCUAAUUGUAGAAAUCUGAUCCAGUUAUUCAUGAAGGCAGAGGUGGCAACACUCCAAUUUCUACUCUUAUUCAGUUAUUCAGGAUGCAUGUGAAUCUCGAUUCUUUUUCUUUCUUUUUUUUGACAGGGGAAACUGUAGGGGAGACCCCUACUGCGGUAAAUAUAUAUUAUAAAAAGAAAAGGUAACUGUACAGAAAUUAGGGGGGAUGGGGAAACCAAACUAUACAAGGGCAAGGAAGACCAAACCAGAGGGACAGAGAGAAGAAAUAAAUGCAUAAUGAACAUUAAGAAUGUCAGUGUUAUUUCUCAAUUCAUAUGGAGUUUCAUAUGUUCACGGCAUUAGCUUGAACAAUUUUACCGGCACACUUCCUUCUGAACUGGGCAACUUGGCCAAACUGGGGCAACUGUAAAAUGCAUCUUUUGAACUGCCAAACCUCACUUCUGAAAGAACUUCAAUUUUGGCAACAAUCUUUGCAUAGUUCAACUUGAGGAUUAUUGCAAUGUUUCAAUUGCAGUUACUUUGAUAGCUCUGGCUUCAGCGGUCCAUUCCCUUCGACGUUCUCAAAGCUUAAGAACUUGAAGACCCUGUGGGCAGCCGACAACGAUUUCAUAGGCAAAAUGCCUGAUUUUAUCGGGAGCUUGACUAAGUUGCAAGAUCUAGCUGCUUUUUUGUCAUGUUCAAAUGACAAAUGGACUUUGCAUCACCCUGCUUAAUAGGGGUUAAAAUUAUGAACUUGUAGGAGGUUCCAAGGAAAUUUUUUUCAAGGCCCAAUCCCAGCAAGUCUGUCCAAUCUAACCAAUUUGACAAGCUUGUAAGUACUUUGUUCUUUGGUGCCACUGUUUGCUUAAUGGCGGAGAAAGUCAAGCUUGUCAUGGAAACUGAUAUGUUAAUAUUCUCAUGUGCAGACAGAUUGGUGACUGUAAUUUUGAUAUUACGUUGCGCAUGACUUGUAUUUUUGUUGUAAUGCACGAGCGCUCACCUAUUCUAUUGGAAGUUGGCAACCACAAAAAAUUUUUA